AAACAUAGUUUAAUGGUUAGAAUAUGACCUUGCCAAGGUUGUGAUGGGGGUUCGAUUCCCCUUGUUUG
RNAcentral lists this transfer RNA (68 nucleotides) under bovine gut metagenome. It matches the Rfam family "tRNA". Rfam says of the family: Transfer RNA (tRNA) molecules are approximately 80 nucleotides in length. Their secondary structure includes four short double-helical elements and three loops (D, anti-codon, and T loops). The record is from RNAcentral.